AUUGAACGCUGGCGGCAGGCCUAACACAUGCAAGUCGAGCGGAUGAAGGGAGAUUGCUCCUGGAUUCAGCGGCGGACGGGCGAGUAAUGCCUAGGAAUCUGCCUGGCAGUGGGGGAUAACGUCCGGAAACGGGCGCUAAUACCGCAUAAGUCCUGAGGGAGAAAGUGGGGGAUCUUCGGACCUCACGCCAUCAGAUGAGCCUAGGUCGGAUUAGCUAGUUGGUGGGGUAAAGGCCUACCAAGGCGACGAUCCGUAACUGGUCUGAGAGGAUGAUCAGUCACACUGGAACUGAGACACGGUCCAGACUCCUACGGGAGGCAGCAGUGGGGAAUAUUGGACAAUGGGCGAAAGCCUGAUCCAGCCAUGCCGCGUGUGUGAAGAAGGUCUUCGGAUUGUAAAGCACUUUAAUUUGGGAAGAAGAGCAGUAAGUUAAUACCUUGCUGUUUUGACGUUACCAACAGAAUAAGCACCGGCUAACUUCGUG
RNAcentral lists this ribosomal RNA (484 nucleotides) under uncultured bacterium. RNAcentral's name for it is "partial 16S ribosomal RNA". It matches the Rfam family "Bacterial small subunit ribosomal RNA", at positions 30 to 507 of the family's 1533-position model. The record is from RNAcentral.